This 250-nucleotide ribosomal RNA is filed under the name uncultured bacterium. RNAcentral's name for it is "partial 16S ribosomal RNA". It matches the Rfam family "Bacterial small subunit ribosomal RNA", at positions 355 to 621 of the family's 1533-position model. The record is from RNAcentral.
UAAGGAAUAUUCCGCAAUGACCGAAAGGUUGACGGAGCAACGCCGCGUGUGGGAUGACACCCGAAAGGGCGUAAACCACUUUUCUGAGGGAGCAAAUUUUGAGUUAACUUCAGGAAUAAGUACCGGCUAACUACGUGCCAGCAGCAGCGGUAAUACGUAGGGUGCAAGCGUUACCCGGAAUUAUUGGGCGUAAAGCGUCCGUAGGCGGUUUUUAAGUCUGGUGUAAAAGUUCGGAGCCUAACUCCGAGAU